This 1300-nucleotide long non-coding RNA is filed under the name Bos taurus (domestic cattle). Its description in RNAcentral is "long non-coding RNA NONBTAT026497". The record is from RNAcentral. Lineage: Eukaryota; Metazoa; Chordata; Mammalia; Artiodactyla; Bovidae.
UGUGGGUCUAUAUCUGUACUGGUCUCCCUGCUGAAGCUUUGGUUUAGGUGUCUUGGCCGCCCAAUCAUGGUUCUUACUUCUUUGUUUCCAAGCUGUUAACUGUAUUGUUAAGCCAAGAAUAGACACAGCUGCACUUUUCUUCAGUUAUAAGAAUUGAAGAUGCCUGGGGUUAAUUGAGAACUAGGUAUAGUGUAAUUCUUUGCAUUAUACCUGAGUUGUAGGCUGUAUAUGCCUGUUGGAUCUCUGGUUCUUAAUCCUGAUGAUAGGAAUUAGGUCUUUUCUUAGAGGAAGAGAGUAGUUUUUAUAAUUUAUUCAUUUUUGAGCCAGUUUUGCCAAAUGUGGUUAAAACUUCCCUCCAUCUGUAGUUGACACACAUUUAGCAUUUAAUUUCAGCUCUUCUAAUUAUAAUGCAUUCCAAAAUGUUACAUGAGGGUUUUGUGUGUGAGUGUGUGUGUGCAUCAUCAAAUAAGCGCACUGACUUUUUGGGAAACUAAAUGCUUCUAGAGCUUUGUGAAGGGUGCUGCCUUGUCUUUGAAGCCUGGUUUGGCUUUUGUUUUUGUUUUAUAUUGAAUAUCAGGGUAUUUACAAUGAUCUUUUGGAAAAAGUGAUUCAAAAGGGAACCAAAUUGAGCUGUGAAAUGUGUUCCUCUGACCCUCUAGGCCUCUUCUAUUUCAGGUCUUUGCUCUGGGGCCAGCUGACAUGGAACACUGAUGCCAUAAAUUGCUGAUUCUGCUAUUUCUUGAAGUAUUGGGUCAGUGAAUCAGGGUUUGCUAGGUCAGAAUUUUUUUGACAUCAAGACCCUCUUCUCUGGGCCUUGGGCAAUCCAGUUUCUAGGAUGAGGUUUUGAGGCCCUCAAGAAAGGCCCUUAGCCCCCAUCUUUGAUUCCUAUGCCUGAGGGAAGGUCAAGAUUCAAUUCCCUGUGACACCCAGCAGUGCCUGAAGUACUGCCAGGACUGUUUUUUUCCUCCAGUGAGAGAGUCCCAAGUGUCCUGGAUGGCAAGCAAUUCUUAACUGGAGAACAGUAGCAGGAACAGGCCUGGAGGGGCCAGGGAGGAGGCACAAAAGCUGAAUGGAGUUGCAAGGAAAGCACGGUUUAGAAGAAACUGUAGCCUUAAUAGCUGUGUAAUUACUUCUGAGCAAAAGACAUCACCAGGUUUAAUUUCACAUGCCCUCACCUCCCCUUACCCUUAGAACCAGAGAAAAGGAGAUUACUUAGACCAAGGCUGAACUGGGCAACUCUCAAACCUAAUGUCUUUAUCAGAGGUUUAUUUCAUCUCAAGUUGGGGCUUUUCCAGAUUUG